RNAcentral lists this long non-coding RNA (1435 nucleotides) under Nicotiana benthamiana. Its description in RNAcentral is "long non-coding RNA (NBEN_LNC004134)". The record is from RNAcentral. Lineage: Eukaryota; Viridiplantae; Streptophyta; Magnoliopsida; Solanales; Solanaceae.
CGCCUAAUAUAUUCCCUAACCUCGUUUUGCUUAUACCUUUUAUUUACAACCCUAAUAUUCCAUACUAACCACUUCAUUGGUAAGAUGUUGAUGGUGGUUCCUCUACCUCCAUAGGAGGACCUUCUUUACUAACAAAACUGCUGCAAAUCUGUUACUCAUAGUGAUGGGGGAUAAGGGUGGGAAGUUGGAGAUGUUGAGUGCUGGGCUCUGGACCUGUUUCCCUUUAUCACUGCCCUUAUCAACUCUGUGAUUCUGGACUAUUCUGGCUUCAUUAACAGUAGUUUCAACAUGUUGGGUUACAGGUUGCUGUUGUACUCCUUUAUCACUGCCCUUAUCAACUCUGUGAGUCUGGACUAUUCUGGUUUCAUUUACAGUAGGUUCAGCAUGUUGGGUUACAGGUUGCUGUUUUACUGGCCUAGCAGGGCCUUUGGUUCUCCAAACCUGCACCACCUUUGGCUUCCAUACUUGUGUAGUCUGUCUUGGGUUCUGCUUUUGUUGGAUUGCACAAUUGUGUCCUAUUGUUUGUCAUUUCUCACAAUAUGAGGGCUUCCAUUCAUACUCCACAUCCUGCAGGAACUUCUUACCAAUUGGGUCCAUAACCCAUAUCUCUGCAGGCAAUUCUUUGGUGACAGUCACCUCUAUAAGCAUUCUGGCAUAAGAUAUCCGUGCCUGUUUUGUGGUGGACUCAUCUGCAAAGAUUGGCUUUCCUAACCCACUGGCAAUUCUGCUAAGAGACCUCAUCCCCCAGCACGACAUUGGUAAUCUUGGAAACUUUACCCAUAUGGGAACUUCUGUUGGAAAUUCUUCAGAGAAAUCAAAGUCAGGUGUCCAUUGUUUGAGUAUCAUGGGCCUAUUGGCAAUGGAGUAUGGACCAGCACACAUAAUCUCUUUGGCAUCAGCCACAUUCUUGAAUUUCACAAUGUAGCACCCUUAAUCAUGAUAGAACAAAUCUGGUUCGGGGACUUGAGACCAGUGGUGACUAAUAAAUCUUCUCAUUGCAUUGAAGCCAGGACCGUCACCCAGAAUGUACACCACUAAGGCACACUUCCAUUUAGCUUCCUCCUCCUCGACUUCAGCUUUUUCCAGUUGUACCAUAGGUUUCCCAUCGACUAUCAUUGGGGGAAUGUAAUUGAUAGCCAUACCAUGUGUCGCAAAACGAUUCUUCUGAAAGAGUGUUGACCAGCUCUUCUUAGGUUCUUCUGGUUUGGCUUUGGUAGGUCCUGUUUGCUCCUCCGGUACAAAUCGAUUCUUCUGAAAGAGUGUUGACCAGCUCUUCUUAGGUUCUUCUAUUUUGGCUUUGGUAGGUCCUGUUUGCUCCUCCGGUGAUAAUGUUGGUUGCAUGGUGGUCUCUGUGGCAUCAGUUGUUUCUAUUGUACUUGGAGUGGUUGAUAUGCCUCCAACCUUUGGUGUCUCCUGCGGUUCCGUAAUUGUUUUU